This 187-nucleotide non-coding RNA is filed under the name Bacteroidota bacterium. The record is from RNAcentral. Lineage: Bacteria; Pseudomonadati; Bacteroidota.
CUUUAUCAACAAGAAUAAGGUGCUGUGUAAAAACGACUUAAUAGGGAAUCAUGUGAAAAUCAUGAGCUGACGCGCAACUGUAAGUAACGAGUAAAAAUUUUAUCAAUAAAAACCAUUGCCGAUAUGAAGGUGAGAAGGUAGAUAAAAUGUUAUGAGCCAGGAGACCUGCCUAUUCUUAAUUGACAAU